This 254-nucleotide ribosomal RNA is filed under the name uncultured bacterium. Its description in RNAcentral is "partial 16S ribosomal RNA". It matches the Rfam family "Bacterial small subunit ribosomal RNA", at positions 524 to 777 of the family's 1533-position model. The record is from RNAcentral.
UACGAAGGGGGCUAGCGUUGCUCGGAAUCACUGGGCGUAAAGGGUGCGUAGGCGGGUCUUUAAGUCAGGGGUGAAAUCCUGGAGCUCAACUCCAGAACUGCCUUUGAUACUGAAGAUCUUGAGUUCGGGAGAGGUGAGUGGAACUGCGAGUGUAGAGGUGAAAUUCGUAGAUAUUCGCAAGAACACCAGUGGCGAAGGCGGCUCACUGGCCCGAUACUGACGCUGAGGCACGAAAGCGUGGGGAGCAAAUAGGG